UAAUACGGAGGGUGCAAGCGUUGUUCGGAAUUAUUGGGCGUAAAGCGCGUGUAGGCGGCUUUGCAAGUCGGGUGUGAAAUCCCUCAGCUUAACUGAGGAAGUGCGCCCGAAACUGCCGAGCUUGAGUACCGGAGAGGGUGGCGGAAUUCCCCAAGUAGAGGUGAAAUUCGUAGAUAUGGGGAGGAACACCGGUGGCGAAGGCGGCCACCUGGACGGAUACUGACGCUGAGACGCGAAAGCGUGGGGAGCAAACAGG
RNAcentral lists this ribosomal RNA (256 nucleotides) under uncultured prokaryote. Its description in RNAcentral is "partial 16S ribosomal RNA". It matches the Rfam family "Bacterial small subunit ribosomal RNA", at positions 521 to 776 of the family's 1533-position model. The record is from RNAcentral.